UGUUUCGCCAUGCCAGAGAUGUUACUGCAUGAUGUUGGUCUUUGAUAAAUGUUUGACUGUCAGAUCUACAAGCAGAAGUACUUCAGCCCAUUUCAUCCAACACAUCGUCUCCCAACACACUUAUUUCCAUCCAGGGGAAGAGAUAGUAACAGAGGUAAGAUGAGGAUUCUCUGGAGAUCCAUAAUUCCCUGAAUGUUUUAGUCUGAAGUGCUCCUUAGAAGAGUGUGCAGUAUAAUACCCGCUUUGAUGAAAAGGUUUUUUUUUUUUUUUUUGGUUUUGUUGAAGACAGAACAAACAGCGAGAGGCAAGCUCUCUUGAUAACAGUCCCAUAAAUCAUAAAUACUGCAUUUUUCAUGUGUUCUUCUCUUUCCACUUGUGUGUGUGUGUGUGUGUGUGUGUUUUUAGUACCUGAUUAGAUGGUGCGAAGAUACUUUUAUAAAUAACCAGAACCUGUGCCAUGGGCCUUAAGGUUUCCUCUAACAACCUAUCUAAUUAAUUCCAGUGAGAGAGAGAGAGGGAGAGUAAGAGAUAAUGAGAGAGAGAAGGUAGAUUAUUCAUAAAAUAAGAAUAUUUGUAAUGGGUGAAAUAGUGGUCAGGACAUGUAUCACUGUACAUAGUGAGAAUGUCUCAGACUAAGUCAAUGCUUCACAGGGAAGAUGUGGAAACAUGCCAAACCCUCCUGACCCAAAUUGUUCGAUGAGAUAAAUUUUGGCAAAGGGAGCUCGCGGUGCCCUUUUCAUGCUGCCAAGGGAUUUUAACACUGGCAUUUGUUGAUCCAACUAAACUCCCAGUGACUUCCUGGAGACUGACGGGUAUGAGAAGCACCAAAGGCACCCAAAGAACACCCAUGUGGUCUCUGCACCAAUUAGGGCAACUAAAACGAUUUCAAAUGUUUUUAUUCAUUGGCUUAAAGCUGUAGUUAUAUUACAUGAAUCCUUGGCAACUAACUAAAAUAAGUUUAAGAAUAAGAACUAAAAUGACUAACUGGAAAUUAAUAAAUACUAAAACUAAACUAAACUGAAAGAAAAA
This is a long non-coding RNA of Cyprinus carpio (common carp), 1029 nucleotides long. The record is from Ensembl. NCBI's taxonomy places the organism in Eukaryota, Metazoa, Chordata, Actinopteri, Cypriniformes, Cyprinidae.